CGUGAGCGGCGGACGGGUGAGUAACGCGUGGGUAACCUGCCUCAUACAGGGGGAUAACAGUUGGAAACGGCUGCUAAUACCGCAUAAGCGCACAGUACCGCAUGGUACGGUGUGAAAAACUCCGGUGGUAUGAGAUGGACCCGCGUCUGAUUAGGUAGUUGGUGGGGUAACGGCCUACCAAGCCAACGAUCAGUAGCCGACCUGAGAGGGUGACCGGCCACAUUGGGACUGAGACACGGCCCAA
This 244-nucleotide ribosomal RNA is filed under the name uncultured bacterium. Its description in RNAcentral is "partial 16S ribosomal RNA". It matches the Rfam family "Bacterial small subunit ribosomal RNA", at positions 90 to 334 of the family's 1533-position model. The record is from RNAcentral.